RNAcentral lists this ribosomal RNA (460 nucleotides) under uncultured bacterium. RNAcentral describes it as "partial 16S ribosomal RNA". It matches the Rfam family "Bacterial small subunit ribosomal RNA", at positions 338 to 795 of the family's 1533-position model. The record is from RNAcentral.
CCUACGGGUGGCAGCAGUGAGGAAUAUUGGUCAAUGGACGGGAGUCUGAACCAGCCAAGCAGCGUGAAGGAUGACUGCCCUAUGGGUUGUAAACUUCUUUUAUAAAGGAAUAAAACCAGGCACGUGUGCCUUUUUGCAUGUACCUUAUGAAUAAGGAUCGGCUAACUCCGUGCCAGCAGCCGCGGUAAUACGGAGGAUCCGAGCGUUAUCCGGCUUUAUUGGGGUUAAAGGGCGCGUAGAUGGGUUGUUAAGUCAGUUGUGAAAGUUUGCGGCUCAACCGCAAAAUUGCAAUGGAUACUGGCAGUCUUGAGUACAGGUGAGGUAGGCGGAAUGCGUGGUGUAGCGGUGAAAUGCUUAGAUAUCGCGAAGAACCCCGAUUGCGAAGGCAGCAUACUGAACCGUGACUGACGUUGAGGCUCGAAAGUGUGGGUAUCAAACAGGAUUAGAUACCCGUGUAGUC